RNAcentral lists this long non-coding RNA (361 nucleotides) under Trifolium pratense (red clover). RNAcentral describes it as "long non-coding RNA (TPRA_LNC008245)". The record is from RNAcentral. Lineage: Eukaryota; Viridiplantae; Streptophyta; Magnoliopsida; Fabales; Fabaceae.
AUGCCAAGUGGUCUUUAAUUAUGUAAAUUUAUCCUCCAAAAAUGUUCACAUUGCUUACUUAAAGCUUUGAGGGUCCCUUUGUUAAACUAGAUUAGGGACAUUAAUUAUGUUGCAAAGAUUUCAUAUCCAAUGCUAAACUCAAGUUUACUUUAGACUCAUGUCAAUGUUAAUGGAACAUUUAAGGGUCUUAAUCAGUAGAAAAGCUUUCUAAAGUUGCUAAGAAUUGAUUUUUAUUUUUAUUUGUUAAAAUGUGAUCACAAUUAGGAGUUCUAGCAAGGUUAUUUAACUCAAGUGUGUUGAUUUAGUGACACUCCACUAGGUUCGUGUGAGGGACUAUGUACUAGAUAGUUUCAAAUGAGAA